Molecule: long non-coding RNA, 772 nt
Filed under: Cricetulus griseus (Chinese hamster)
Lineage: Eukaryota; Metazoa; Chordata; Mammalia; Rodentia; Cricetidae
Description: lncRNA (ENSCGRG00015035468.1)
Source: RNAcentral
GGUACAGCCCCCCUGUUAUCCCCAGGAGGGCAAUGCAGAAACGUUGCCCGGGGAUAGUGCAGUGUGCUUGGAAACAUGGCAGGGGACACCGCCCUACCACUGACUUCUAACCUUGAUUUUCAUCUCUGUGGCAUCUGGAAGCCCGGGGUGUGUUCACUUGCACUUUUAAUACUUCCCACAGCUUAAAAUAACAAAAAACAAAAACUCUGAGCCAGUAGCUGCUAUUGGGCACCAUAGAAUUCAAGCAACCUGGAGGGUCUUCCUUCCUAGCAGCCCCUGUAAAAGGGUCGUUUGACCCACAAAGGGGUCUCUACCUAGAGGUUGAGAAGCUCUGACUUAGAGCAUUCAUAAGCAAAGAACAGUAACUGAGACCAGUGGUGGAUAACUAACUCCCUACUUUACAUUUAUGUUAAAAGGCACUAUGAAAACUGAUGUUUUUCAAUGAUAUGAAGAGUCAUGGUCCCUACUGUUGAGGAAGAUGAACUGUGUGAUAUUCUUCCCAGAGAAUUCUUUGUAUUUCCCUGACCUUCAUCGACCCAUGAUGGAUUAUGCUACAAAGCUGAACAGUCUUCUAGCGUGGAGGCAAAGAUAAACUAUCCUGUGGCUGAUACCAGCCAGAAACUGGAAGCAGCCUAGAUGCCCCUCAACCGAAGAAUGGAUAGAGAAAAUGUGGUACAUUUACACAAUGGAGUACUACUCAGCAGAAAAAAACAAUGGAAUCUUGAAAUUUGCAGGAAAAUGGAUGGAACUCGAAGAAACCAUUCUGAGCAAG